AACGAACGCUGGCGGCAGGCCUAACACAUGCAAGUCGAGCGCCCCGCAAGGGGAGCGGCGGACGGGUGAGUAACGCGUGGGAACGUACCCUUUGCUACGGAAUAGCCUCGGGAAACUGGGAGUAAUACCGUAGGUGCCCUUCGGGGGAAAGAUUUAUCGGCAAAGGAUCGGCCCGCGUUGGAUUAGGUAGUUGGUGGGGUAAUGGCCUACCAAGCCGACGAUCCAUAGCUGGUUCGAGAGGAUGAUCAGCCACACUGGGACUGAGACACGGCCCAGACUCCUACGGGAGUCAGCAGUGGGGAAUCUUAGACAAUGGGCGCAAGCCUGAUCUAGCCAUGCCGCGUGAGCGAUGAAGGCCUUAGGGUUGUAAAGCUCUUUCAGUGGUGAAGAUAAUGACUGUACCCACAGAAGAAGCCCCGGCUAACUCCGUGCCAGCCGCCGCGGUAA
RNAcentral lists this ribosomal RNA (447 nucleotides) under uncultured bacterium. RNAcentral's name for it is "partial 16S ribosomal RNA". It matches the Rfam family "Bacterial small subunit ribosomal RNA", at positions 29 to 523 of the family's 1533-position model. The record is from RNAcentral.